RNAcentral lists this ribosomal RNA (253 nucleotides) under uncultured bacterium. RNAcentral's name for it is "partial 16S ribosomal RNA". It matches the Rfam family "Bacterial small subunit ribosomal RNA", at positions 524 to 776 of the family's 1533-position model. The record is from RNAcentral.
GACAGAGGGGCCGAGCGUUAGGCGGAAUCACUGGGCUUAAAGCGUGUGUAGGCGGGCCGUUAAGUGUCUUGUGAAAUCCCCCGGCUCAACCGGGGAAUUGCUGGGCAUACUGGCGGUCUUGAGCAAUCUAGGGGCAGAUGGAACAAGUGGUGGAGCGGUGAAAUGCGUAGAUAUCACUUGGAACGCCAAAGGUGAAGACAGUCUGCUGGGGAUUUGCUGACGCUGAGACACGAAAGCCAGGGGAGCAAACGGG